This 21-nucleotide non-coding RNA is filed under the name Caenorhabditis elegans. Lineage: Eukaryota; Metazoa; Nematoda; Chromadorea; Rhabditida; Rhabditidae. The record is from RNAcentral.
UAACUUCGAUGUUCGUUUUCA